Long non-coding RNA from Hippocampus comes (tiger tail seahorse), 707 nucleotides. RefSeq lists it as uncharacterized. NCBI's taxonomy places the organism in Eukaryota, Metazoa, Chordata, Actinopteri, Syngnathiformes, Syngnathidae. The transcript has 3 exons. The record is from RefSeq and is a predicted model, not a curated record.
GUAGACCUGCGCACCGAGGAAGAACGCUCACCAGUCUCGAACGGGGCGAAACGUCCGUUUUGCUGACUUCCGAUCGCAGAGUAAUACUGUAGGGUGGGAGCGGCACGGCCGGGUGGUAGCGCGGUCUGUUUCCCUAACCCGGAGGUUGCUGGUUCGAUGCCCGGCCGUUGCGGCUAUGUCAAAGUGUCCUUGAGCAAGCGACGGAACCCCCUCCACUUGGUCCCGGUUCUGCAUCACCAGUCGGUGAAUGAGGCAACGGCGCUUUGAGUAUGCGCAGGCGGCCAACGCGGGAGGAGGCCGGUCGUGGGAUGCAGACGGAGCCGUGUCAUCAAUUUGGCUCCGACGUCGCCGUCCACAAGACGGAAGAGGAGGACGGCAGGAAAAGCAAGUCACCUUCUCAUCUCAUCCGGCUGCCAUGUGCCCGAAUCUUGUGCGGGCGCCAAUCGCACCGACUAUCAAGCGCUCCGGACUGCGAUGGAUCCAAUCGUAAGUUGAUGCUGCGUGUUGCCAACCAUGGUUUCCCAACCACGAUCGUCAGACAUAUAUUGCUCAAUACGACCGCAGCGCAGUUGAAAAGAACAGCUUGUGUCGUUAUUCGACACAUUUGCUCAUGUGACUCCCUCAUAAAAAGUAUCGCGUAUUCCCCACUAAAAGUUGCUCUGGAGUAUAGAAGUCGCAACGGCCCCAAAAUUCAUAACAAAGUAGAA